Molecule: small nuclear RNA, 192 nt
Filed under: Suricata suricatta (meerkat)
Lineage: Eukaryota; Metazoa; Chordata; Mammalia; Carnivora; Herpestidae
Description: U2 spliceosomal RNA (ENSSSUG00005022432.1)
Rfam family: U2 spliceosomal RNA
About the family: U2 is a small nuclear RNA (snRNA) component of the spliceosome (involved in pre-mRNA splicing). Complementary binding between U2 snRNA (in an area lying towards the 5' end but 3' to hairpin I) and the branchpoint sequence (BPS) of the intron results the bulging out of an unpaired adenosine, on the BPS, which initiates a nucleophilic attack at the intronic 5' splice site, thus starting the first of two transesterification reactions that mediate splicing.
Source: Rfam by way of RNAcentral
AUCUCUUCUCUGCCUAUUAGCUAAAAUCAAACACAGUAUCUCUUUUCACCAAUUAAAAGCAUCCAAUGUAUUCUCUGUCUGUGUACUGGGCAUUAAGUUCUGCUUAGAAUGAGGAGAUGGGUUGGGCACUUGAUCUAUUCACUCCUUGCCUCAUCCUAGAAUUGCAUUACUUCUAGGAAUGAUGCAUUUCUU